This 574-nucleotide long non-coding RNA is filed under the name Mytilus galloprovincialis (Mediterranean mussel). The record is from RNAcentral. Lineage: Eukaryota; Metazoa; Mollusca; Bivalvia; Mytilida; Mytilidae.
CUUGGCCAAUAACAUGAGUUAAAUUCCUUUUACAAAAUAGGUUUAACUACGACUUCUUUUGUCAGACAUUUGCGAUGAAGCUGACAUUCUUCAUUGAUGGCGUUAAGAGUCACAUUUUCAUAUUUCCGUGUUUUUAUGAGUUCUUCAAGACCUCCAAACUUAAACUUAUAUACCUCCAACAAAAUUUUAUCAUCGUUUCUUCCUGUAUAAGAAUGAUCUUUUUGUGGAUUGAAAAAGUCAACUAAAUGGUCCAUCCCUUUUGUUUUACUUUCAAUGUUGACAUUCUUUUCCUUUUCGUCGAGCCUGCGUUUUUUGUCGCAAAAGCGAGACAUAGCGAACCAACCUAAUAAUUCCGUCGCCAGCGGCGUCCACAAAUAUUCGCUCUGUGGUUAUAUUUUUUAAAUUUUGAUAAGUUUUUCAAAUUAUCCUGGAUUUCUACCAAACUUGAACAGAAGCUUCAGUUGUUUAUGAUCAAAAGAUAAAUUUCAAGAAGUAAAUUUUGUAAAAAUAAAAUCAAGUUUUUCCGUAUUUUACUUAUAAAGGGACUUAGUUUUUAUGCCAGUUAACAUUACAU